AAGCAGGGGAUCGUAAGACCUUGCGCUUUUGGAGUGGCCGAUGCCUGAUUAGCUAGUUGGUGGGGUAAGGGCCUACCAAGGCAACGAUCAGUAGUUGGUCUGAGAGGACGACCAGCCACACUGGGACUGAGACACGGCCCAGACUCCUACGGGAGGCAGCAGUGGGGAAUUUUGGACAAUGGGCGAAAGCCUGAUCCAGCAAUGCCGCGUGAGUGAAGAAGGCCUUCGGGUUGUAAAGCUCUUUCAGUCGGGAAGAAAAGGUUGCGACUAAUAAUCGCAAUUUAUGACGGUACCGACAGAAGAAGCACCGGCUAACUACGUGCCAGCAGCCGCGGUAAUACGUAGGGUGCGAGCGUUAAUCGGAAUUACUGGGCGUAAAGGGUGCGCAGGCGGCUCUGUAAGUCAGAUGUGAAAUCCCCGGGCUUAACCUGGGAAUUGCGUUUGAAACUACAAGACUAGAGU
This 462-nucleotide ribosomal RNA is filed under the name uncultured ammonia-oxidizing beta proteobacterium. RNAcentral describes it as "bacterial SSU rRNA". It matches the Rfam family "Bacterial small subunit ribosomal RNA", at positions 202 to 647 of the family's 1533-position model. Lineage: Bacteria; Pseudomonadati; Pseudomonadota; Betaproteobacteria. The record is from RNAcentral.